CCGCCCGCGGCUUGAUCCUCUCUCCCUUGCUUGCUCCAGAGGCGCCCCGCCCCGCUUGGCUUCCCGGCUCUCGGCGUCCUCCCACCCGGAUCCAUUGCACGCUGUGGCCAGGCGGCGAUGGAGCCCCGUGGCUCCUGCCCAGCCAACCUGCUCUUCUCUUUCAGGCCCUGGUUGAGGGUAAAGAAUGGAAUCGGCUGUUUUGUGUAUUUGCCUCUGUGCUUGGAACUGGCAUAUAGAAGCUCCAUCUUCUCCAGUCACUGUCAGAAUCUGCCAUGAUUGUUGAUGGAGAGAGAGAGAGAUCUGGCCCAUGGCAGAAGAAAAUGAGAUGAAUAGUAAGAAGAAUCAGAUCCAAGAAGAGCCAUCCAAAAGAGGAAGAGACACCUGGUCCUGCAGACUUUACCUCUAAAUUAGCUCUAUUUUGGUUCCAUGUGCCCAUACUUCUCCCUUACCCACUGCUGGCUAAGUGAGGUUUUUGUUCAGUAUGAUUCAGUUCUGGUACCUUGAUAUAACUUGUUCUCUUCACACUGUUCACAGUUAUUAAGAAAACUUUACUUGGCAUUUGCUUGGUACUCACCAUGUGCCAGGCUGUUUAGUACACGCUUUCCCAUGUGAUCUCUUUCUAUAUGUGGUGACCAUCUCAAGUUGGCAUUGUGACCAUAAUUUGACCAAGAACACAGACAUAUUUGUUGCCAGUCCAUUUAUCCUUUUAAGGAUGUAGAUGGACAUUUCAGGUCCCUUUUCAUGUCCACCUCAGUCUCCAAGGAAGAGAACUGGAUGGGAAACUUUGUCAAGGCACACUUAAUCCCUCUUCUGGGAAAAAGGGCCAUGUCCUGACCAGGAAUCCUCAGUGCUCCCUUUGGCCCUUUUAGGCAGUGGGGAGUGGCAGUCCUGGAGUUUUUGCCCAGCUGCCUGGAAGAGAGUGGAUGAGCAGCUGAGGCUGAUAAACAGCCUGGGUUAAUCCAGGUUGCAGCUUGUAGUUCUCUUGCAAGAUCCAUCAAGGAUUUCCCUUCAGCAGUAUCGCUUCACAGCAGUUGGCUGACUUGUGGGUCCCGACAGCCUGACUCCUGGCUGUGCGUGCGGGCAACUUCAGCAGGUAGAAUGUGGCUAACCUGAGUAGACACAUGUAGAGCUCUGCGGAGAGAACAGGAAAGCUUGCAUACACAGGGCUUUUGUGACAGAAGCUGAGAAGGAAGUCAGGGGAAAUAAUUAAUCCCCAUAUCCAUUUAACAGUCCUCCUCUGGAACAUCAGCUCUUUGAGUUUUGGAUCGGAGUCAAA
RNAcentral lists this long non-coding RNA (1276 nucleotides) under Mus spicilegus (steppe mouse). Its description in RNAcentral is "lncRNA (ENSMSIG00000001948.1)". The record is from RNAcentral. Lineage: Eukaryota; Metazoa; Chordata; Mammalia; Rodentia; Muridae.